UCAGGUAACAUCAAAUCGUACCCCAAACCGACACAGGUGGUCAGGUAGAGAAUACCAAGGCGCUUGAGAGAACUCGGGUGAAGGAACUAGGCAAAAUGGUGCCGUAACUUCGGGAGAAGGCACGCUGAUAUGUAGGUGAAGCGACUUGCUCGUGGAGCUGAAAUCAGUCGAAGAUACCAGCUGGCUGCAACUGUUUAUUAAAAACACAGCACUGUGCAAACACGAAAGUGGACGUAUACGGUGUGACGCCUGCCCGGUGCCGGAAGGUUAAUUGAUGGGGUUAGCGGUAACGCGAAGCUCUUGAUCGAAGCCCCGGUAAACGGCGGCCGUAACUAUAACGGUCCUAAGGUAGCGAAAUUCCUUGUCGGGUAAGUUCCGACCUGCACGAAUGGCGUAAUGAUGGCCAGGCUGUCUCCACCCGAGACUCAGUGAAAUUGAACUCGCUGUGAAGAUGCAGUGUACCCGCGGCAAGACGGAAAGACCCCGUGAACCUUUACUAUAGCUUGACACUGAACAUUGAGCCUUGAUGUGUAGGAUAGGUGGGAGGCUUUGAAGUGUGGACGCCAGUCUGCAUGGAGCCGACCUUGAAAUACCACCCUUUAAUGUUUGAUGUUCUAACGUUGGCCCGUAAUCCGGGUUGCGGACAGUGUCUGGUGGGUAGUUUGACUGGGGCGGUCUCCUCCUAAAGAGUAACGGAGGAGCACGAAGGUUGGCUAAUCCUGGUCGGACAUCAGGAGGUUAGUGCAAUGGCAUAAGCCAGCUUGACUGCGAGCGUGACGGCGCGAGCAGGUGCGAAAGCAGGUCAUAGUGAUCCGGUGGUUCUGAAUGGAAGGGCCAUCGCUCAACGGAUAAAAGGUACUCCGGGGAUAACAGGCUGAUACCGCCCAAGAGUUCAUAUCGACGGCGGUGUUUGGCACCUCGAUGUCGGCUCAUCACAUCCUGGGGCUGAAGUAGGUCCCAAGGGUAUGGCUGUUCGCCAUUUAAAGUGGUACGCGAGCUGGGUUUAGAACGUCGUGAGACAGUUCGGUCCCUAUCUGCCGUGGGCGCUGGAGAACUGAGGGGGGCUGCUCCUAGUACGAGAGGACCGGAGUGGACGCAUCACUGGUGUUCGGGUUGUCAUGCCAAUGGCACUGCCCGGUAGCUAAAUGCGGAAGAGAUAAGUGCUGAAAGCAUCUAAGCACGAAACUUGCCCCGAGAUGAGUUCUCCCUGACUCCUUGAGAGUCCUGAAGGAACGUUGAAGACGACGACGUUGAUAGGCCGGGUGUGUAAGCGCAGCGAUGCGUUGAGCUAACCGGUACUAAUGAACCGUGAGGCUUAACCUU
Molecule: ribosomal RNA, 1323 nt
Filed under: Escherichia coli HVH 212 (3-9305343)
Lineage: Bacteria; Pseudomonadati; Pseudomonadota; Gammaproteobacteria; Enterobacterales; Enterobacteriaceae
Description: bacterial LSU rRNA
Rfam family: Bacterial large subunit ribosomal RNA
Source: RNAcentral